GAUGAAGAACGUAGCGAACUGCGAUAAGUAAUGUGAAUUGCAGAAUUCAGUGAAUCAUCGAGACUUUGAACGCACAUUGCGCCCCCUGGCAUUCCGGGGGGCAUGCCUGUCCGAGCGUCAUUGCUGCCCUUCAAGCCCGGCUUGUGUGUUGGGUCGUCGUCCCCCCCGGGGGACGGGCCCGAAAGGCAGCGGCGGCACCGCGUCCGGUCCUCGAGCGUAUGGGGCUUUGUCACCCGCUCGAUUAGGGCCGGCCGGGCGCCAGCCGGCGUCUCCAACCUUCUAUUUUACCAGGUUGACCUCGGAUCAGGUAGGGAUACCCGCUGAACUUAAGCAUAUCAAUAAGCGGAGGA
This 350-nucleotide unclassified non-coding RNA is filed under the name soil metagenome. Its description in RNAcentral is "partial contains 5.8S ribosomal RNA, internal transcribed spacer 2, and large subunit ribosomal RNA". The stretch from base 1 to 120 matches the Rfam family "5.8S ribosomal RNA", at positions 35 to 154 of the family's 154-position model. The record is from RNAcentral.